Molecule: ribosomal RNA, 228 nt
Filed under: uncultured Actinomycetales bacterium
Lineage: Bacteria; Bacillati; Actinomycetota; Actinomycetes; Actinomycetales
Description: partial 16S ribosomal RNA
Rfam family: Bacterial small subunit ribosomal RNA
Source: RNAcentral
GGAGUGAGUAACACGUGGGUGAUCUGCCCUGCACUUCGGGAUAAGCUUGGGAAACUGGGUCUAAUACCGGAUAGGACCAUCGUUUAGUGUCGGUGGUGGAAAGUUUUUUCGGUGUGGGAUGAGCUCGCGGCCUAUCAGCUUGUUGGUGGGGUAAUGGCCUACCAAGGCGUCGACGGGUAGCCGGCCUGAGAGGGUGUACGGCCACAUUGGGACUGAGAUACGGCCCAG